Molecule: ribosomal RNA, 253 nt
Filed under: uncultured bacterium
Lineage: Bacteria
Description: partial 16S ribosomal RNA
Rfam family: Bacterial small subunit ribosomal RNA
Source: RNAcentral
UACGGAGGGGGCUAGCGUUGUUCGGAAUUACUGGGCGUAAAGCGCACGUAGGCGGACCAUCAAGUUGGGGGUGAAAUCCCGGGGCUCAACCCCGGAACUGCCUCCAAAACUGCUGGUCUGGAGGUCGAGAGAGGUGAGUGGAAUUCCGAGUGUAGAGGUGAAAUUCGUAGAUAUUCGGAGGGACACCAGUGGCGAAGGCGGCUCACUGGCUCGAUACUGACGCUGAGGUGCGAAAGCGUGGGGAGCAAACAGG